GGUAUUAUUCAGUCUAGAGUAAUUUGAGAAAGGUGGCGUCUGUACAUGUUUUAACACACACACACAGAAAUAAACAACCACUGCAAUAUACACAUAUAUUCAUACAUAUACUUUUAAUCAAACAUACACUACAACAUACCACAACAUGCAAGCAUAUAUACACACAUGCACAACAUUCAGACAUACAUAUACACACAUUCACACACACACACAUAUAUGUAUACACUACAACAUUUAGAUACAUACAUACACAUACACACUUUUGAACAAACAGAAACACACCUGACCAGGUAACACCCAUACAUGUAUAACCUUCAUCCUGGAGUUUAUGAUAUCGUAGCGAGAGUUGCAAGAUCCACAAUCUCUCCGCCGCUUGAAGAAGCUGAACUUAAAAUACAUUUUUAGACAGAAAAACCUCGGGCUGAAAUGGACGUUGCAUAUUUUAUUCCAGACAUGGAGGUUGAUGAGAACAUAAAACAAAUUAUGAGUGAUAAUAUUCAAUUCAUAGUGGAAUUUAUCCAAAAAUACCCACAAAAGGUGAACCAAACAAACUCAACAGGUAAAACAUACUUAAUGGCUGCUUGUAUACAUAGUAGCACAGAUAUGAUAAACAUGUUGAUAGAAGCAGGAUCUAAUUUGAACGUGACUGACAAAGAUGGUCUAACAGCAUUACAUUAGGCUGUGAAGAAGUAAGUUCAGAAUUAACUAAAAUCUUCAGAUCUGUUUCGUUUCCAAAUUUUUUCCAUUUCUAGACAGGUUAAAUAUCCAAAGAUGCCACAGGAGUGUCGGUGUGAGAGGAUGACAACAUAAUAUUGGUAACCAACAACAUCUUUUUCUCAUUUUCUCCAAAAAUCAACUUCAUUAUUGAACCAUAAGAACAUUUUUGAUUAUCUGUUUUCAAAACAUUUUUGUUUUGGGGAUAUUCUUUGAGAGCCAACGGUCACCCUUACGAUUGAUCCAAUGUGAAUCAGAGUCGUCUGUUGAUAUUGAUUAUGGAGAGAUCAAUCAAUUGUUUGGAAAGAAACUUAUAUUUGAGCAGCAAAAUGAAAACAAAGUUUUGGAUGUUAUGUCAAUAAUAAUCUGUAAACUUUCUCCCAAAGAUUAUAUCUCUCCACCAUCUGCAACAUAGCCAACACACUCUUAAAUGUAUCUUGACCUGAACUGUGCUCAUCAGGCCACCUCUGUGCUAUAAAACAUUUUUUGAAGUCCUUGUUGUUUUUUUAGUUUCCUUAGACAGAGUUUCAUUGCAUUUCAUGCUCACAUAGAUAUGAUUUAAUAUAAAAGUAUCAAUUAACAUAACAUGUAAUGGUUUCAUUAGAACUCAAUAUGAUCUCUUAUAUUCACAGAAAUGCAGCUUUAAAGAUAGAUAUGUUCCAUGAUAUCAACAUCCAUAGAAUAUAAAUCCAUAUCAUAUUAUAAGAGACAGAAAUAUUUAUUCAAAAUUUUAUUCUUUACAAUUGUUUUGGUGACAAAUUUUCACCAUUUCAUCAGAAGACAACGUUUCAAAUAAAGAAACUGUCAGAAAAUUCUGUCAUCAAAGAAUAUUCACAGAAUAAGAGUUACCAAAAUAAAAAUAAAGAAUCAUAGCAAAUUGAAAAGAAAAAAACACAUAAAAAUUAACAGAGUUGCAAGAAUAAGAAAAGAAUGGAGGAAGUUCAAAGAGUUAUUAUCUCUGUUGGUAACAAAAGGUUUCAUUGUUGGUAACAAAAGUGAAAGGCAGAAUGUAUGAUAUUUGUGUACAAACAACAAUUGUAUUUGGUAGAGAAAUAUGGGCCAUGAAUGCAGAAGACAUGCAAAACUAGAAGAGAAUGCAGCUAGCAUCCUGUACUGGAUGUGAAAUAUCAGUGUGUACAUAUGACAGGGCAAAUGUGUUAAAAUAAAAAUUGGGCUUAAAAGGACUCAGAUGUGUUGUGUAAGAAAGAAGAGAGCACCGGUGAGGUCAUGUGAUGUGUAUGGAUGAGGAGAGCUGCAUAAAACAUCUCGAUCACUGAAGACGGAAACUGUGGAAGAGCGAGACCCAGGAAGGUAUCGAAUGAAGUAGUGAAAUCUGAUCUUGGGAAGAUGACAAAGGACUAGGAUGAAUGGCGAACUGAGAUGCUCAAGAAAACCUGCCCAUCACGAAAAACCUGAAUUUCAAGAAAUAUAAUGUCUAUAUACACAAUUAGACCCUUUUCCAAAUUUCUUCAUCAAAUCUUCUCCUUCAUUCCCUCAUUCUCUAUCACUUACCUAAUUACAGUAAUCUACUGCAGUAAUUAAAUGAGGGCAGAACUACAUAUCUUAUCAUCUUCUCUGUGAAAGUUCCGGAGGAAGAAGAGAACUGCAAAAGACCAAACAAAGUACUGCAGUAGAUGACAUUGUAAAGACAACCCUGUCUAUGCAUGUAUGUAUGUAUGUAUGUAUGCAUGCGUGUAUAUAUGUAUGUGUGCAUGUAUGUAUGUAUGUAUGUAUGUAUGCGUGCGUGUAUGUAUGUAUGUAUGUGUGUAUGUAUGUGGGUAUGUAUGUGUGUGUAUGUUUGUGUGAAUGUAUGUAUGUAUGCAUGCAUGCGUACAUGUAUGCAUGCAUGCAUGCAUGGAUGUAUGUAUGUAUGUUUGCAUGCAUGCAUGCAUGUAUGUAUAUAUGUAUGUAUGCAUGCAUUCAUGCAUGUAUGUAUGUGUGUGUAUAUUAUGUAUAUGUAUGUAUGCAUGUAUGUGUGUAUGCAUGCAUGUCUGUGUGUAUGUAUGUAUGUAUGCAUGCAUGUAUGUAUGUGUGUAUGUGUGUAUGUAUGCCUGUGUAUAUGUAUGUAUGUAUGUAUGCAUGCAUGCGUGUAUGUAUGUAUGUAUGCAUGCAUGUAUGUAUAUAUGUGUGUAUGUAUGUCUGUAUGUAUGUAUGCAUGUAUGUAUGUAUGUAUGCAUGAAUGUAUGCAUGUAUGUAUGUAUGCAUGUAUGUAUGUAUGUAUGUAUGCAUGUAUGUAUGCAUGUAUGUAUUAUGUGUGUGUGCAUGUGUAUGUGUGUAUGUAUCUAUGUGUGUACGUGUGCGUGUACAUUCAUGCAUGCACGCAAGUUCUCUCCUCUCAUUAACCAAAUAUUAAACCCAGUUGAUUUGGCCGUUAUUUUUAGCAAGUUUAAAAACUUACGGAAGGUUGGUGUGAAUACAAAAGUGUGAGUAUGUUAAUGUAUUAUUCCUUAGUUCUGUGGGGGUGGGGAUAGAGGCAGAACUGAAAUUUAAACAAAAAUCAGAAACGUAAUUAAUCCCUAAUGUUGAAAAUAUAGCAAUUUGAAGAAAUUUUGUUUUUGAACAAAUAACAAUUCACUUCAUAUACAAGGAAAGGAGAAAAAUAAUCUAUCAAACCUGAAUGACAGAAACUAGUAAGUGAAUACUGAAAUAAAAACAUCCAGAUUGCUCGUUUUUAGUAUUGUAGUUAUUAUUUGAGAGUUCAAAUCUUGCUGAGGUUAUCUUUUCCUCUUAUCAUUUUGUAAUUCUACAAGUCGAGUACUGGUGUUUAAUGUAAUCGGUUUCCCCUCCCCUCAAAAUUACAGGCCUUGUGCCUACAAUAGAAAUUAUUAUAAAAUAUUUUGGUUUGUCUCAGGUUCGGUCUUAUUCCUUGUAGGAAUUACGUGGAUAGCGAGUUACGACGACCUGUAACCUUAGGGAUCCACAAGUUUUCAGCAGUCUUUCAAGUGCUUAGAACCCUCCUGAUAAUCCUUGCUGUCCUUAACAGACAAACAUCCUGUAGGAACUCUAGUGGGCAUUCUAUUUCAAUCUCCUUCAACCAUUUGUCUAUAUCUUGGCUUAGAGUUCUCAACGCACCAAUUAUUAUAGGCACGACCUUUAUUGUUCGCCGGAUCCAAAUUCUUCCUAUUUCAAAUUUUAAGGGAUUGUAUUUCCUUUGUUUUUCUUCCUCUUUCUUUAUGAUCCUGGAAUCAAAUGGGCAUGAUGGGUCGAUAAGUAAGCAACUUUGCUUUUCUUAAUCUAUGAUUGUAAUAUCUGGUCUAUUAUUUUCUAAUUUCCCACAAAAAAAGUCCCACAAAAUCUUACACUUCUCUGACUAUGAUACUCUUUCGGCUCGGUGAUCGUACCAUGUGUUUCCAGUUUCAAAUCCCAAUUUCUGGCACAGUUUCCUGUGUAAAACGUUUACAGCCUGGUUGUGCCUCCUUGGGGAAUUUUUGUGCCAACUUGGAGCAUUCUGUCACAAUGUAUGCCACUGUCUCGUUUCAAGUUCCACAGGCUCUGCAUUCUUCUGACACAUUCUCUCAAGUUGUUUAUCUUUGCAUUACUUUUCCAAUUGUAUUACAAAUAAAACAAACCAAGCUUUUUUUUUUAAUUUUUCUUCUCCAUUUUCUUUUAUUGACUUUUUAAUUUUAUGAGACUGUUUAUAUACAUAUAUAUUAAUAUUGGCAUAUGAAAUUUUCUCUAGAUCCAUUUCAGAUGAUUGCAUUGUUCAAUUAAAUGGAGCUGCUUGAAACGGUUUACUGCAUCACCUCUGGAUAUCCUGUUGCAUAUUUUAAUUUUAUUUGCACCUUAUUUUGAAAUUGCAUGGAUAAUACUGCACUAAUUUAUGGUGCCUCAACUUAAG
Unclassified non-coding RNA from Octopus bimaculoides (California two-spot octopus), 4552 nucleotides. The record is from RefSeq and is a predicted model, not a curated record. NCBI's taxonomy places the organism in Eukaryota, Metazoa, Mollusca, Cephalopoda, Octopoda, Octopodidae.